AAAACUUUAAGUUAAUCAAACUAAUAAUCUUCAAAAUUAUAAAUAAAUUAUUAUUUAAGUUUUA
This 64-nucleotide transfer RNA is filed under the name Setodes iuppiter. RNAcentral describes it as "tRNA-Trp". The record is from RNAcentral. Lineage: Eukaryota; Metazoa; Arthropoda; Insecta; Trichoptera; Leptoceridae.